RNAcentral lists this ribosomal RNA (253 nucleotides) under uncultured bacterium. RNAcentral describes it as "partial 16S ribosomal RNA". It matches the Rfam family "Bacterial small subunit ribosomal RNA", at positions 524 to 776 of the family's 1533-position model. The record is from RNAcentral.
UACGUAGGGGGCAAGCGUUGUCCGGAAUCAUUGAGCGUAAAGCGCGUGUAGGCGGCUUCGUAAGUCCGUUGUGAAAGUCCAGGGCUCAACCCUGGAAUGCCGAUGGAUACUGCGGAGCUAGAGUCCGGAAGAGGCGAGUGGAAUUCCUGGUGUAGCGGUGAAAUGCGCAGAUAUCAGGAGGAACACCAAUGGCGAAGGCGGCUCACUGGCCCGGUACUGACGCUGAAAUACGAAAGCGUGGGGAGCAAACAGG